Molecule: long non-coding RNA, 1440 nt
Filed under: Sparus aurata (gilthead seabream)
Lineage: Eukaryota; Metazoa; Chordata; Actinopteri; Spariformes; Sparidae
Description: lncRNA (ENSSAUG00010022096.1)
Source: RNAcentral
AUGUCAGUCUGGGGAUCGGUAUGGCAUUCUAGGGAUCGGUAUAUGCCGUUGAGCAGCAAUCGACAUACCUUUAGCCACUUUUCGAUCUCGCCGUCACUCGGACAUGUUCACGUGAAGAAACGUCUCUGUACCCCGGACAUUGAACUGUUGACUGUGGGGAUGAGGCCUUAUUAUUUGCCCCGGGAGUUCACAUCCGCCAUCAUUAUCGGUGUGUACGUUCCUCCUUUGGCUGAUGCAGCGCUGGCCUGUGACGUCAUCCACUCCGCUGUUGCCCAGAUACAGACGCAGCAUCCUAACGCAUUUAUUGUCAUCACUGGGGAUUUUAAUCACGUCUCACUGGACAAAACCCUCCCAACAUUUCACCAGUAUGUUGACUGCCCCACCAGAGACUGUAACACACUGGAUCUGUUGUAUGCAAAUGCUAAGGAUGCAUACAGUCCCACAGCCCUCCCCCCGCUUGGAAGAUCUGACCACAACCUGGUUCUGCUGACCCCUAAGUAUAUGCCUCUUGUUCAGCGGCAGCCUGUCCACACUAGGAGCGUGAGGAGGUGGAUUCAGGAGGCUGCUGACGCACUACAGGACUGCUUUGAGUCGACAGACUGGGAUGCACUUGUUGAGCCACAUGGAGAGGAUCUCGACAGCAUGACCGACUGCAUCACUGAAUACAUCAGGUUCUGUGAACACACCACCAUGCCAACCCGGACUGUACGCUGCUUCCCUAAUAAUAUGCCGUGGAUCACCAAUGACCUGAAAGCCCUUCUUAACAAGAAGAAGAGGGCGUUCAGGUCUGGAGACAGGGAAGAACUGAGGAGAGUGCAGCAUGAACUCAGGGAUAUGCUGAGGGCCUGUAAAGAUGCCUACAGGAGGAAGCUGGAGGCCAAACUCCAGCAGAACAAUGUGAGGGAUGUGUGGACUGGUAUGAAGCAGAUCACUGGGUGUAAGGUGAGCGGCAGACAGUCAUCGGGCAGCCUGGAGAGGGCAAACGAGCUUAACAGAUUCUUCAAUAGUUUCAGCUCACAGCCUUCUGUCGUCUCCAUGACACCUCCAGACCCCCACACACCCUCACUGCCCCAAAUGCUUCCUCCCCUCCCCUCCCCUGUGCAGCACCUCUCCUCCUCCUCCACCUCUUCCUCCUCCACCUCCUCCUCCUCCUCCACCUCCUCCUCCACCUCCUCGUCCUCCACUGAAGACACUGGCAGCCUCCCCCGCAUGACUGUGACUGCAGGCCAGGUUAGGAGACAGCUGGAGAGACUCCACCAGCAGAAGGCUGCAGGCCCUGACGGUAUCAGCCCCAGGAUCCUGAAGACGUGCCAGCCAGCUGUCUCCUGUCCUACAACACCUCUACAACCUGAGCCUGGGUCAGGAGAGAAUACCAGUGCUUUGGAAGACUUCCUGCCUGGUUCCUGUUCCAAUGAAGUCGACACCAUCAGACCUCAAUGA